RNAcentral lists this transfer RNA (76 nucleotides) under Caudoviricetes sp. RNAcentral's name for it is "tRNA-Ser". The record is from RNAcentral. Lineage: Duplodnaviria; Heunggongvirae; Uroviricota; Caudoviricetes.
AACGGUAUAGCUCAGCCAGCAGAGCGUCAGGAUGCUGUCCUGAAGGUCAUCGGAGCAAAGCCGACUACCGUUCCCA